GACGAACGCUGGCGGCGUGCCUAAUACAUGCAAGUGGGACGCAAGGGAACACUCUGUGCUUGCACACCGUGUUUUCUUGAGUCGCGAACGGGUGAGUAACGCGUAGGUAACCUGCCUAUUAGCGGGGGAUAACUAUUGGAAACGAUAGCUAAUACCGCAUAAUAUUAAUUAUUGCAUGAUAAUUGAUUGAAAGAUGCAAGCGCAUCACUAGUAGAUGGACCUGCGUUGUAUUAGCUAGUUGGUAAGGUAAGAGCUUACCAAGGCGACGAUACAUAGCCGACCUGAGAGGGUGAUCGGCCACACUGGGACUGAGACACGGCCCAGACUCCUACGGGAGGCAGCAGUAGGGAAUCUUCGGCAAUGGACGAAAGUCUGACCGAGCAACGCCGCGUGAGUGAAGA
This 401-nucleotide ribosomal RNA is filed under the name Streptococcus mutans. RNAcentral describes it as "bacterial SSU rRNA". It matches the Rfam family "Bacterial small subunit ribosomal RNA", at positions 28 to 411 of the family's 1533-position model. Lineage: Bacteria; Bacillati; Bacillota; Bacilli; Lactobacillales; Streptococcaceae. The record is from RNAcentral.